GAAAUCUUGGUCUUUGAAGGCUCUCCAGGUGGUCUGUGGUCUAUUGCCCAAAUGCAAUGGUCAUAAAAAAAGAGAGAAGAAAAGAAAGAAAAAAAGAAAAUUGGUUUAACAAGCAAGGGUCAUGAAGGGGAAGAAGAUCAUCAACAAAACUACAUAAAAACAAUUCCCAACCCUUCAGAACUGAGGUGGAUGAGACCAAGCAGGGACAACACAAGAGCCUGAGGGAGAAAAUAAAGCCACAGAAUCUGUACAUUACGAACAAAACACAUGCCCGAAAGGAGAGGAUCAUACACUUCAUGAAGUCCCAGAUUGUACGUGAACAGGAACAUGAACAGGAUUCAAGAUGGUGGAAUCAGAGCUAUUGUUCUGUGAAGCUCUGUGAGAAGGUGAGGUCCCAUGAGGGAUGGUCCUACCCUCUGCACUGUGUCUAGCUUUCCUUCCACUAGUCUCAAUGAUGGACAGCAACCCAUGGGAAGUACUUGCCUGUGGACCAGAGAGACAAAACUUCCUGUGGAUUACAUGCACACCUCACCACUAGACUCACUUCAGCUGUGGACAAUAGGAUUCUGAGAUACCAAAGUUUUCUCUAUCCUGUCUUCUUGAGAUGAAUAGUUACAUAGACU
Molecule: long non-coding RNA, 623 nt
Organism: Mastomys coucha (southern multimammate mouse)
Lineage: Eukaryota; Metazoa; Chordata; Mammalia; Rodentia; Muridae
Exons: 3
Source: RefSeq, a predicted model, not a curated record